Molecule: ribosomal RNA, 279 nt
Filed under: uncultured bacterium
Lineage: Bacteria
Description: partial 16S ribosomal RNA
Rfam family: Bacterial small subunit ribosomal RNA
Source: RNAcentral
UGCCAGCCGCCGCGGUAAUACGUAGGGGGCUAGCGUUGUCCGGAUUCAUUGGGCGUAAAGAGCGUGUAGGCGGUUCAAUAGGUCCGAUGUGAAAACUCGAGGCUCAACCUCGAGAGGUCGUCGGAAACCAUUGAGCUAGAGUCCGGAAGAGGAGAGUGGAAUUCCUGGUGUAGCGGUGAAAUGCGCAGAUAUCAGGAAGAACACCGAUGGCGAAGGCAGCUCUCUGGGACGGUACUGACGCUGAGACGCGAAAGCGUGGGGAGCGAACAGGAUUAGAUA